This is a non-coding RNA of Paramuricea clavata, 3293 nucleotides long. The record is from the annotation of a GenBank genome assembly. Lineage: Eukaryota; Metazoa; Cnidaria; Anthozoa; Malacalcyonacea; Plexauridae.
AAAGGCAACUGAACGUAUGCUCAGAGAUAUUUUUCGCGAAACACAUGUUUGGUAAGGCUGGAAGCAAUUUUUAUUUAGUCUUACCGUAGCCCAGUUUUUUUUUACUUAGCAGCAGAAUUCUCCAAUUUUAAGCGGACAAAACGCAAAUGAAGGAUUUAAAUUUCUUUUCCUAACUGUAAGCUAAACGAAAGCAGUGAAAUGCCAAAAAUGCAUGUCGAUAACAAUUCAAAAAAGUUGGUGUUAGCUGAUUUUGUCAAUUAGCAUUGGUAGUCUAGACUGGUGUUCAAUGAUGUUUUGCGUCAUCUUGUUUUGGCGGGAAAAACAUGCACUUAAAGGUGAUGUAAUGUCCGUUCUGCGCAGGCCUACAUUCCAAUGGUCUGGACCCGACCAUUGGAGUUUUGUUAAUAUGUCAACACCUUCCGAACUUUCUUGAAUUCAUGAAUCUCUAGUCUGUAUUAAUUUACAAGCAUAUAGCGAACCAGAAGACUGUUAAAAAUUCAGUUUAAUAUACAUCUAAUCAUAUUUUACAACGUAGCACUGAGCUCAAAAUGUAAACAAAGCGUUCGUCGCGAAUUCCUUUCUACCAUCUUCAUGUAGAAAUUUAAGUAUAAAGGACGGCUGAAUGCUGGCAAAAAAAUAUGCAGAAAAAAAGCAACAGAAAAAUUUUAAUAAAUUAUCAUUACAGUGGUAAUCAUGUCAUGACGAGUCCAAUUAAGGAUAGACGGUGCAAGUAAUUUUUUUGCACGAAAAAAAUUGGAAUUUCACUCAUGCACACAUGCCAUUCAAAUCGCACUGUAUUUGUCAUUUUCUUAAUAAAAGCAUUAGUUUUGGAUAUCCAAUUGGGAAACGAAAUGGGAAAAAUUCAAAUCCUUUUCAACCGUCAUUUAAUUUAAAUUUUUUUUGCUCAAAUUGUUUUGAGGGCUGAUCUACUAAUGAUCCUGAUCUAUUAAUUGUACGGGAGUGUCCAUUUGAUGAAAUAAUGCUCUCUAAUAUAUGUGGGAGGCUUUUAAAACUUCACUUAUAUAGUCCAGUAGUUAUGUGUUCGACACGAAAUGAACUACAUAGGAAAUAAUGCAAAAAAUAUACUUUGAAAGAAUAACAUAUGCAUACUUAUGCAUGUUGAAACAGAUUCGAAAUUGGCCAUAAUGUAUUAAUGCAAUUCACUUUCACUUUUUAAACAAUACUGAUGCAUGCUAGUCAUGCAGCUAGUGCACGUUUCAUAUUGGAAAUCCCAGUUUAUAUAAUUAAUUUGGAUGCAAUUAUUCUUGCUUCAAAAUAUUAGUAACGCAAAUUUGCAUAAAUACAGCAUAAUGAUAGUUUUUUUGUGUAUACUAGGUGUAUAAAAAAAGUUAACCCAACUUUGGCAUGUUAUCGUGAAUCAGUAUAUAUAGCGUUUAACCAUUUACUUUUUUCAUACAAAUAAUAAAAGAUCAGGCUUUUAGCUGUCGAAUAAUACGUUUCGUGUAUCAAUGCGUGUAGUUGGUUUUCUAUGUGACAAAAAUCAAUGUUAAUUGAUAUAGCUUUGAUUUUUCUCGGCUUAUUAGUCAUUUUAAAACUAUUUCGCCAAUGUACUCAUGUUUUACAUCUGAUAAACAGGGCCGUUGUGGGUCCCGUGUUUUAGGGGAGGGGGUAGGGGGAUAGGGGGGCAAGAGUAGCAUUUUUCCGGCAAACACAAUUUUUUCCGACAUAAAUAAAAUAUGAAAUCAUAUAGAAUUAAAUAUCAACUAUGCUUGACGUAUAUUGGAAAAACGUAAACUGAGUCCCAUUUCAAAUAUUUCAUCCAUAUAUUUUUUAUUCAAACAUGUUUCCCAUUGUCAAACAACGAAGAGAAGUUAAAUGCCUGCUGGUAUAUGCUGGUAUGCCUGACCACGAUGAUUCCGACAACCUAACAAAUUUCCAAUUUUCCGAAGCGUCUCAACAAUAUAGGGGAGGGGGCAUGCUUCCCCCCUCGUCCUUGGCGCCACUGCUGAUAAAGCACUCACACGCGUCCUGAAAGUAGUACAUGACAUUUGUAAAGAAAUCGGUGGCAAAUACAAUGCUCUUAUUUCAUAUAAAUUCAUGUUAUUCAACUUAUUCGUACAAUAUUUAACCUAUACUUAUUCGCUGAAGGCGAGGUGAUUAUCAGGGACUAUUCGCCGAGACGUACGAAGUUGAGGUGAAUAUUCUCCGAUAAUCACUAAGCGUGAGACAAAUAAAUGUUUUAGUAUUUUUACACAAGUCUUUUGUGUUUUUUUUGGGACUGAAUUUAUUUUAAUUUCGCCUAUAUCCAUGUCUUUAUCCGCAGUAACUUCCACUGCAAAACGGUUAGCCGUCAUUUUGAAGUCUAAUUCGGUUUUGUUAUAUUCAAUUGUAGGCGAAUAUUACAGCUUAAUACAUCAAAUUUGACCAAUCAACUUGUAGGAUUUGUUAUAUUCACUUGUGCAAAAAUACUAAAAUAAAUAUAAUAACAUAUCUUGUAUGAUAUAAUAUUGUUAAGUAUCUUGUAUGAUAUAAUAUUGUUAAGUUUUAUAGUUAAAUUUUAAGUUAUUAGUUGAAUACUUAGAUAUUAGUUAUUAGUUUGUAAUGCGCAUGUCCGAUGUCUCGCGUACGAAAAUGUAAGUAACUUUAUUUUCUGCUGUUGCCGUUUGCGGUUGCCAAACUUUCUAUUGAAGCAUUCUGCGUCGGCCGGGGAUAAAUUUAUAACAUGUUUAAAUUAUAAAAGGAUAUACACUUGCUAGUUUGCUUUAAUUAACAAGGAAGAAAAAGUAUAUGCUAGCACGCAAUUAUUUAAUACGGUAAAUGAACUGUUAAUUAGUGAAACACAGAUGUUUGAACAGUUCAAUAUCUCGACGUGCAUAUAUUUAAUGCAUACUGUAGACCAGGGGCCGGUUGUUGAACGGUGUGUUAGCGCUAAUUAACCCUCGGUUAAAAUUUAACCUGCUGUUUUAGUUUAUGUCAUGCACGUCUGGGGUUAAGCUAACCCAGUUUUGAACAAUGGGCCCAGGUAUACAUUGACUGCUUUACUUUUCUAUGCCAUUUGUAAACCAUGCAGAACUAGAGUUACGUCAUGCAUAAAUAUUAUUAUGAAUAAAGUAUUUAAGACAAAUUUGGUUUCCUAAUCUCUCUUUCUUGUCUCUUCAGUUUCUGUGAACUGACAUUUCAUGCCGGUUAGGGGCCAAUCAAAGCAUAAGUCGAUCUGAAAUCGAUUCAGAGCCGUCAUUGGUACGAGUGUAGACAACAUGCAUAAACGAGCUGCAACCGAUUCAAGAUGGACCACAAAUUAUUCACCGUUCUUGUCUUGCAUGAAAUCUUAC